Molecule: ribosomal RNA, 500 nt
Filed under: uncultured bacterium
Lineage: Bacteria
Description: partial 16S ribosomal RNA
Rfam family: Bacterial small subunit ribosomal RNA
Source: RNAcentral
AAUCAACGCUGGCGGCGUGCCUAACACAUGCAAGUCGAACGCGAAAGCCCCGCAAGGGGUAAGUCGAGUGGCCAACGGGUGAGUAACACGUGGGUGACCUGCCUUCGAGUGGGGGAUAACGUCCCGAAAGGGACGCUAAUACCGCAUGACAUCCUGCUUUUGAAAAAGCGGAGAUCAAAGCUGGGGAUCGCAAGACCUAGCGCUUGAAGAGGGGCCCGCGCCUGAUUAGCUAGUUGGUGAGGUAACGGCUCACCAAGGCGACGAUCAGUAUCCGGCCUGAGAGGGCGGACGGACACACUGGGACUGAGACACGGCCCAGACUCCUACGGGAGGCAGCAGUGGGGAAUUGUUCGCAAUGGGCGCAAGCCUGACGACGCAACGCCGCGUGGAGGACGAAGAUCUUCGGGUCGUAAACUCCUGUCGAGCGGGACGAACGCUUCGCGGAUGAAUAAUCCGCGGAAUUGACGGUACCGCUAAAGGAAGCCCCGGCUAACUCCGUG